UACAGAGACUGCAAGCGUUAUUCGGAUUCACUGGGCGUCAAGGGUGCGCAGGUGGCCAAGUGUGUCAGGUGUGAAAUCCCGGAGCUUAACUCCGGAACUGCGCCUGAAACUGCAUGGCUAGAGCAUUGGAGAGGGAAGUGGAAUUCACGGUGUAGCAGUGAAAUGCGUAGAUAGCGUGAGGAACACCAGAGGCGAAGGCGACUUCCGGGACAAUUGCUGACACUCAGGCACGAAAGCGUGGGGAGCCAAAGGG
This 253-nucleotide ribosomal RNA is filed under the name uncultured bacterium. RNAcentral's name for it is "partial 16S ribosomal RNA". It matches the Rfam family "Bacterial small subunit ribosomal RNA", at positions 524 to 776 of the family's 1533-position model. The record is from RNAcentral.